UACGGAGGAUGCGAGCGUUAUCCGGAUUUAUUGGGUUUAAAGGGUGCGCAGGCGGAUUUUUAAGUCAGCGGUCAAAUCGUGGGGCUCAACCCCAUCCAGCCGUUGAAACUGGGGAUCUAGAGUGUGCGAGAGGUAUGCGGAAUGCGUGGUGUAGCGGUGAAAUGCAUAGAUAUCAUGCAGAACCCCGAUUGCGAAGGCAGCAUACCGGUGCACAACUGACGCUCAGGCACGAAAGCGUGGGUAUCGAACAGG
Molecule: ribosomal RNA, 252 nt
Filed under: uncultured bacterium
Lineage: Bacteria
Description: partial 16S ribosomal RNA
Rfam family: Bacterial small subunit ribosomal RNA
Source: RNAcentral